CAGCAGGUCUGGAGACUCCAUACAUCUCCCUAAAUCAGCAGGUCUGGAGACUCCAUACACCUCCCUAUAUCAGCAGGCCUGGAGACUCCAUACACCUCCCUAUAUCAGCAGGUCUGGAGACUCCAUACACCUCCCUAUAUCAGCAGGUCUGGAGACUCCAUACACCUCCCUAUAUCAGCAGGCCUGGAGACUCCAUACACCUCCCUCUAUCAGCAGGCCUGGAGACUCCAUACACCUCCCUGUAUCAGCAGGCCUGGAGACUCCAUACACUUCCCUAUAUCAGCAGGUCUGGAGACUCCAUACACCUCCCUAUAUCAGCAGGUCUGAAGACUCCAUACACCUCCCUAUAUCAACAAAUAUUUCUGUGAAAUUAGUGUAGUUGAAGCCAAAAGCUAUUACUUCUAAACUACUUGAGAUCAAAACCCCCAAAACGGUGUUGGCAGGAUGUGCAUCGG
This 455-nucleotide long non-coding RNA is filed under the name Salmo salar (Atlantic salmon). RNAcentral describes it as "lncRNA (ENSSSAG00000094142.1)". The record is from RNAcentral. Lineage: Eukaryota; Metazoa; Chordata; Actinopteri; Salmoniformes; Salmonidae.